This 318-nucleotide unclassified non-coding RNA is filed under the name plant metagenome. RNAcentral describes it as "partial contains 5.8S ribosomal RNA, internal transcribed spacer 2, and large subunit ribosomal RNA". The stretch from base 1 to 105 matches the Rfam family "5.8S ribosomal RNA", at positions 50 to 154 of the family's 154-position model. The record is from RNAcentral.
GAAAUGCGAUAAGUAAUGUGAAUUGUAGAAUUCAGUGAAUCAUCGAAUCUUUGAACGCACAUUGCGCCCGCCAGAAUUCUGGCGGGCAUGCCUGUUCGAGCGUCAUUUCAACCCUCGAGCUCCCCUUUCGGGGGGAGCCCGGCGUUGGGGACCCGGCGCUAACAACGCCGGCCCCGAAAUGGAGUGGCGGCCCGUCCGCGGCGACCUCUGCGUAGUAACAACCACUCGCACCGGGACCCGGGCGCGGCCACGCCGUAAAACACCCCACCUUCCGAAUGUUGACCUCGAAUCAGGUAGGAAUACCCGCUGAACUUAAGC